Molecule: ribosomal RNA, 497 nt
Filed under: uncultured bacterium
Lineage: Bacteria
Description: partial 16S ribosomal RNA
Rfam family: Bacterial small subunit ribosomal RNA
Source: RNAcentral
GAUGAACGCUGGCGGCGUGCCUAAUACAUGCAAGUCGAGCGAACGGACGAGAAGCUUGCUUCUCUGAUGUUAGCGGCGGACGGGUGAGUAACACGUGGAUAACCUACCUAUAAGACUGGGAUAACUUCGGGAAACCGGAGCUAAUACCGGAUAAUAUUUUGAACCGCAUGGUUCAAUAGUGAAAGACGGUCUUGCUGUCACUUAUAGAUGGAUCCGCGCUGCAUUAGCUAGUUGGUAAGGUAACGGCUUACCAAGGCAACGAUGCAUAGCCGACCUGAGAGGGCGAUCGGCCACACUGGAACUGAGACACGGUCCAGACUCCUACGGGAGGCAGCAGUAAGGAAUCUUCCGCAAUGGGCGAAAGCCUGACGGAGCAACGCCGCGUGAGUGAUGAAGGUCUUCGGAUCGUAAAACUCUGUUAUUAGGGAAGAACAUAUGUGUAAGUAACUGUGCACAUCUUGACGGUACCUAAUCAGAAAGCCACGGCUAACUACGUG